GGUAUUUUUGUAUUAGGUCUACUAAAGUAAAAAAGUCAUCCUUGUCAAGCUGGUUUCCCCUUCCCCAACCAGAGAACACAACAGCUCUUCCAGUCAGCCCAGCCAUUUUACUGAAAUAUUUCUUUCUACUAGCAACAGCAGCAAUAAUACAUGAAUUGUCUUUGGGCUCACAUGUCAUCUAGGAGAGGAGUGCUCACACACUACAAGGUGAGCAGCAGCCUGUUUUCUCACUUCACCUUCAAGUGCCUCUUUACUGUAUGCAAGCACCUGUAGAGGGUAAUGUCAUCUGAAAGUGAUUGCCUGAAUAACCAGCACUGAGGAGUCAGAGUCAUCAUCCGUGGGUUUUUCCACUGGAGCACAGAGAACUUCCUGGUGGGUACAUCCUUUUCCUGCUCCGAGAACACUACCAGGCUGAGGAUGGCGAGUAAAGGCCAAAUGUGUCCUUGCUGUUUGAGAAAGCUUCCAAAAUAUGCAUAAUGAUUUCAACAAAAAUACCAUUGAUGUUACUGCUGAAUAAGGACUUCUGGACGGGACUGUAGAAUAAACUCGGAAUAGCCUUCCAGCGUGAAGCCUUCCAGCCUUCCACCGUUCCACCUUGCACUUUGCAUCCUUGAUGUUGACAAUUUUUCCUGAUUCUCCAGUACCUAAAAUUAUUCAAGAGGAUGAGGGAUGGAUGGAUGACUGUAUGCUGUAGCAGUGUGCAAACCUCAGAAAGCACUUUUCUUCCUGGAAGAGUGUAUUACAGCUUUUACCCAUGGCAAGUGAUCAACCAGGAAAUAAAGUUCUACCUUUUGAGCGCAGUAGCACAGCCUGAGAGGGCAGGACCUAGACUAUAUG
This 837-nucleotide long non-coding RNA is filed under the name Struthio camelus australis. RNAcentral describes it as "lncRNA (ENSSCUG00000005919.1)". Lineage: Eukaryota; Metazoa; Chordata; Aves; Struthioniformes; Struthionidae. The record is from RNAcentral.